AUGCCACUUCAAUUGAAGCUCGUGCCGAUCGAACGUGUGCGGGUGGAAAUUCAGGGAGCCGAUUCCGACGAGCAUCCGGAAACAUGGGACGACUACUGGGAUAACCAUUGGGAAGAAUUUGAUGAGCUUGUUGAAACUGGGGGGUACGUGGACAAGACCCCACUUUUAAAAUGGUUCAUCUCUCGACGCCGUCAUCUGGCGCUUCUCGCUCCACCGAAACUUGGCCGUACCACCAACCAGCUCAUGAUUAGGAGAUUUUUUGAAAAGGAAGUUAUGCCCUUGGAUGCGAAUUACAAACCGACAAUAAAAAAACCCGAGACAUGGAACGAAACCGUGUUCAAGGACUUGGCGGUGUGCAAGGACGGGAAGUUUUGCGAAGAUCAUUUUCGGAAAUACCCAGUCAUCUAUUUGGAUUUCAGUAACCUCAACACAACGACAGAGCUAUCGUUUUUUCACAGUAUACGAUAUCUGACGACCUAUAUGUGGAUGGACCACGAUUCUCUGCGCAACAGCAAAGCACUCAGCGAGAAAGAGGUGCGUAGCAUUACCGUAAUAGCAUUCACAUGCAAACUGUUGUGAGUAAAGGCAUCAGUUUAUGACAUUAUAACAUGUUUAAAGACCUGAUGGCUUUCAAAAGACAGGAGCUAACAGAGGAAUGCUCAGGCAUGGUCUUACCUUAGAUAUACUACAGCUAAAGGUAAGUUUUCUUGUUAUAAUUACCUUGAGGUGCAUUUAACGACAAACGAGUUGUUCAGAAGACUGCACAAAUUAUUAAUUGAAACAAAC
Molecule: long non-coding RNA, 786 nt
Filed under: Bemisia tabaci
Lineage: Eukaryota; Metazoa; Arthropoda; Insecta; Hemiptera; Aleyrodidae
Description: lncRNA ENSSWEETPG003716
Source: RNAcentral